GGGCCCGCACAAGCGGUGGAGUAUGUGGUUUAAUUCGAUGCAACGCGAAGAACCUUACCAGGGUUUGACAUCCUGCGAAUCUCUUGGAAACAGGAGAGUGCCUUCGGGAACGCAGUGACAGGUGGUGCAUGGCUGUCGUCAGCUCGUGUCGUGAGAUGUUGGGUUAAGUCCCGCAACGAGCGCAACCCACGUCUUUAGUUGCCAGCAUUAGUUGGGCACUCUAGAGAGACUGCCGGUGAUAAACCGGAGAAGGUGGGACGACGUCAAGUCCUCAUGGCCCUUACGGGAUGGGCUACACACGUGCUACAAUGGCAGUGACAAUGGGUUAACCCCCCAAAACUGUCUCAGUUCGGAUUGGAGUCUGCAAC
Molecule: ribosomal RNA, 368 nt
Filed under: uncultured bacterium
Lineage: Bacteria
Description: bacterial SSU rRNA
Rfam family: Bacterial small subunit ribosomal RNA
Source: RNAcentral